Molecule: long non-coding RNA, 1334 nt
Filed under: Olea europaea (common olive)
Lineage: Eukaryota; Viridiplantae; Streptophyta; Magnoliopsida; Lamiales; Oleaceae
Description: long non-coding RNA (OEUR_LNC001896)
Source: RNAcentral
AAUUUUUUCACCUGUAAUCAAAUAUAAAACCAUAAGACUCAUUUUGGCUCUAGUUGUUCAAUUUGAUUGGGAAUUAGAACAAUUAGAUGUGAAAACUACCUUUUUACAUGGGGAAUUGGAAGAGGACAUUUAUAUGUGUCAACCUCAAGGUUUUGAAGAAAGGGGGGAAUCUGAUUUUGUUUGUAAAUUGCAAAAAUCACUGUAUGGACUGAAACAAAGUCCAAGACAGUGGUAUAUAAGGUUUGACACAUAUGUUUUGAAAAUUGGUUUUAGAAGGAGUGAAUAUGAUCACUGUUUAUACUAUAAUAAUUCUAAUUAUACUAUAAUAAUUCUAAAACCGGGUCUAAAACGUAUCUACUACUCUACGUAGAUGAUAUGCUUCUUGCCAGCCCCAGUAAAGCUGAAAUAAUGAGGCUGAAAAACCUAUUAAAGUCUGAAUUUGAUAUGAAGGACUUAGGAAAUGCCAAGAAAAUUUUAGGGAUGGUGAUAAAUCGAAAUAGGCAAGAAAACAUGCUAACCAUAUCACAAGAACCCUACCUACACAAAGUUAUAAUGAAGUUUGGCAUGAAAGAAGCUAAGUCCGUCAAUGUUCCCCUUGCUGCCCAUAUGAAUCUCUCAUCAGCCCAGUGUCCAAAAACUGAAUCUGAAAUUAAAGAUAUGACAAAUAUCCCAUAUGCCAAUGCAAUUGGAUCUGUUAUGUUUUCCAUGAUUACAACACGACCAGAUCUUGCAUAUUCAAUCAGUUUUUUAAGUAGGUUUAUGGCAAACCCUGGAAAACCACAUUGGGCUGGGUUAAAGUGGCUACUUAGAUACAUAGUUGGGACACUAAAUGUAGGAUUGGUGUUCAAAAAGGGAUCGAAACUAUUAACUCUUAAAGGAUAUGUGGAUUCCGAUUUCGCUGGAGAUAAAGAUCAAAGAAAGUCUACAAUUGCCUUCUUUUUUACACUUGGUGAUAAUUGUAUUACGUGGAAGUCUCAACUUCAAUCAAUUGUAACUUUGUCUAGCACUGAAGCUAAAUAUGUGGCAAUUACUGAAUGUGUAAAAGAAUGCAUGUGGCUUAAAGGGAUCUUAACUGAACUGAAUUUUCUAAAUACUCCACCUGUGAUAUUAACUGAUAGUCAAAGUGCUUUACUUUUAAGCAAAAAUCUUGUCUAUCAUGAAAGGUCAAAACACAUUGAGGUGAAGUAUCAUUUCAUAAGAGAAAAACUCUCAUCUGGUGAAAUGGCUCUUGAGAAAAUUCAUACUGAUUUUAAUCCUGCUGAUAUGGGGACUAAAAUACUGACUGUUAAUAAAUUCAAAUCUUGUUUAUCAUUGCUUAAUAUUGAUACAGGUUG